GCGGGUGUAGCUCAAUGGUAGAGUUCUGACCAUCCAAGCCAGCUGUGAGGGUUCGUUCCCCUUCACCCGCUCCA
Molecule: transfer RNA, 74 nt
Filed under: Clostridioides difficile
Lineage: Bacteria; Bacillati; Bacillota; Clostridia; Peptostreptococcales; Peptostreptococcaceae
Description: tRNA-Gly
Rfam family: tRNA
About the family: Transfer RNA (tRNA) molecules are approximately 80 nucleotides in length. Their secondary structure includes four short double-helical elements and three loops (D, anti-codon, and T loops).
Source: RNAcentral